CUUUGGAUCUAAUAUUCAGUUCUUCUCCUUUUCCAUCAUCUUGUGUUGUUUGAUCCGCUCGAGAAGGGUCAAGGCAUCCCAUUCUCUCCACAGAUUCACACUCAAGCCAGAGGUUGUCAUCCUGACUUUUACUUCUGAGUUACAUCUGGCUUCAAAAUUUGAGCCCAAGCUAUUGAUCCCGCAAGGCUGCACUAUUUCCUGGUUGAAGAUUUUCAUGUCCUUCUCGGGUGGAUUAAAUUUCAUUUAUAGAAAUUACUCAUUGUUUUGACUGCAUCUGCUGAUUGACACCUCCUCCCUUGCGCAUUAGUUAAUUUCUUACAAUGUGUUCAUAAAAAGAUGGGUUCUUUGAAAUUUUCCGUUGCCUCAGAGUUUCAUGACAGAAAAAAGAUUUGAGGCUUUGGGAAAUGUUUAUGUGUUGGCAGCUGAUUGGAUUGUUUGUAAUUCAUGGGUGAGUGGCAAGAAGCUAGUGAGCGGAAACCAUUCCUAUGGUGGUUUCUGAGUUGGUAUGUCCUUGAAAAGAAAAGUUAAUGUCCCAUCUUCUUUUGUGGCCGGUUGUUUCAGAUGUGGUCUUAAUGAUCACAAUAGAUUUAAAACAUUCAUAGUUUCUGGGAUGGUUGGAGUUCAUGGUAGUAAAUCACUGAUUGAAGUAGUUGAAGAGGCCCAAUUAGUUGAUCAAUUAAAUUUGUUGGGUCCUAGCUUAACUUUGAAAAAUCCAAUUUUUAAAUCUGUAGAUAUCCAAACUAAAGCUACUAUGAAUGCAGAGGAGAAAUAUAUGGCAUUAGAUACUUGGCAUGAAAAGUCUGCGAGACAAAAUUUUCGAGUCCUGUUUAAUUGACAAGUGAGCAGGCAACUAAUAGUGUGGAAGAUGAUUGUAGAUCAAAUGCUGUUCUAUCUGCUAUUGGGCGACAAAUGAUUGGAUGCAUGUUCUAAAACUGAUAGAAAAAAGAACUGAUGAGAAGAUGAUGUGCUUCAUCAAAUGGAUAAGGAGAAAUGGAAAGUUGAAGCAAAAUAUGUCAGUUUGUAAAUUGACCAUCCGAGUAUCUGCUACAAAAGAGGACGGGGAUACGGCUAACAUACUAAUAUCAGAAAUAAUUUCUGAUUCAGAUUGUCAGCUGAACUCUCAAGUAUUUAACCUUUUAUUACAAGUGUGUGCUAAAAGAGGGCUUGUUGAGUGGGGAGCAAAGUGAUUCCACAUGAUGUUAGAAAAAGAGGUGAGGCCUAACACUGUCACUAUUGGCAUGCUUAUGGGUCUUUAUCAGAGAAAGAGCAAUCGUUCAGAAGCCGAGUUUAUCUUUAGCCACAUGAGGACCUGCAAAAUUCACUUUUUCAUGGCCUACUCAUCAAUGAUGACGAUUUACACACGCCUAGGUAUGUAUGACAAGUCUGAGGGAAUUAUCCACUUUAUGGGUGGAGAUGAAGCGGUUCCAGAUUCGGAGAAUUGGUUAGUUCGUCUUAAUGCCUCCAGUGAGCGAGGUAAGCUGAAAGAGGCUGAGUCUGUAUUGACAUUGAUGCAAGAAGCUGAAUUUCCCCCAAUAAUUUUAUGUACAACACCUUGAUCACAGGUUAUGGAGAGCAAACUAAUGUCAAAGCUGCAGAACUUGUAUUUCAUAGGCUCCAAAACAUAGGAUUGGAGCCUGAUGAAAUAAAAUAUAGGUCCAUGAUUGAAGGUUGUGAUUGGGCUGACUAUUAGAUAGAGGCUAUGCAAAAUUAUGUGGAAAUCAAGUGGUCAGGAUUAAAUCGUAACUGUUCAAACUUCUGCACGAUGGUCAACUUGUAUGCCGGGCAUGGGGACGACAGUGAUAUUGUUCAAAACUUAGUAGAUUAGAUAUGAGGUCGGCUUGCUGCCAAUACUCGUCCAUGUUGAGUAGAUAAAGUUCCUCAAAUUUUAUUACCUUCUUUUUGUGAUGGAAUUUUAGUGGAUCACACAUCAACUUGUGUUUGUCAUGUCCUAUAUACAAUAUUCCCUCUUGGAUGAUGCUUUCCAACCCUUGCAGGAAAAAAGGUUGAAGUCUUCAAAUUAUGAAGACUGGUUGUACCAUUUACUGAUAUGUUCCUGCAUGGAGGCCGGUGGUUACGAGGAUGCUAUUAGCAGCACAUCACUUCUUCUGCGAUAGAUGUAUUCAGUAUCCUGAGCAAUUCACUGAAGCAGAGGAUCUUUACUUGAAGUUGAAAGCAUCAGGGGUCACUUUUGAUCUUAUUGCUUACAGUAUAGUUGUGAGAAUGCAUAUUAAAGCAGAGCCUUUGAAGGAUGCUUGUUUAGUUGUGGAUAUGAUGGAAAACCAGAAAGAUAUUGUUAUUUAUGGAUAUGCUUGAAUUUAUUAGCAAUGCGGGAUGCUAGAAAAAUUGGCAAAUACCUACUAUUUGACGCUGAGAUUUGGAGGUACAUGGGAUGAGGCAAUAUAUAAUUGUGUGAUAAAUUGCUGUGGCCAAGUCUUGGUAGUGGAUGAGCGCACCAUGUUUCAAUGAGAUGAUUCAUUGUGGAUAUGUUACUAACACCAUACUCCUUUUGUUCUUUUUUAUCUGUCAUUUUUUAAU
Long non-coding RNA from Dioscorea cayenensis subsp. rotundata (Guinea yam), 2535 nucleotides. RefSeq lists it as uncharacterized. The record is from RefSeq and is a predicted model, not a curated record. NCBI's taxonomy places the organism in Eukaryota, Viridiplantae, Streptophyta, Magnoliopsida, Dioscoreales, Dioscoreaceae. The transcript has 3 exons.